This 742-nucleotide long non-coding RNA is filed under the name Rattus norvegicus (Norway rat). RNAcentral's name for it is "long non-coding RNA NONRATT028997". Lineage: Eukaryota; Metazoa; Chordata; Mammalia; Rodentia; Muridae. The record is from RNAcentral.
CUGAGCAGUGAUCUUGUACAGCACAGUAAGGCAUGCAACAUGUAUGUUUUUUAAUUCAUAGGCCAUUGGCUGUCCUAACAAUUAGGGGGAGCAGUGAGUUGUGACAAGAAUGAGAGUUGUAUAUCCCUCUGCAAAGAGGCAACUUUGGGAGUUUCUGUUGGGGUUACCUCUUCACCCUACUUUCCUGCCUGUGCCUUGGAGGAGUGUGUGGUUGUCUUGUACAGGUAAAUGACUUCACCCUCCUUUCUGUGCAGACUUCUGCUGGAUGUGUCUAGGAGACUGGAAGACGCAUGGUAGUGAGUACUAUGAAUGUAGUCGGUACAAGGAGAAUCCUGACAUUGUCAACCAGAGCCAGCAAGCACAGGCCAGGGAGGCCCUCAAGAAGUACUUGUUCUACUUUGAGAGGGUAGGUGUCUUGUCUUACAUCAGCCCUUUCAGAGUUGGCUUUCUCCACUUGGCCUGUUGACGACGUGAGAGCACUGGGAUGCUGUGUGCAUAUGUGGAAGUUAGUGACUGGAGCUUCUGCACGUGCUUGGUAUUGCCUUCUACAGAUGUGGGUUUUCAGUUGUGCAGGAUGCUGGGGAAGGACCUGGUACCCCCUUAGUUGAGUGAUGUCCAGGACCCGUGUGCUCCAUAAGAAGACAGAGCAAUCCGAGGACAUGGCCUACUAGCCAGUGUUUGUUUUAAACUUAUCUGCUGACCUCUGUACCUUCCUGGAACUCUACCCUUUUCCUUCUUCCUC